AGAUUGAACGCUGGCGGCAGGCCUAACACGUGCAAGUCGAGCGGCAGCACGGGUACUUGUACCUGGUGGCGAGCGGCGGACGGGUGAGUAAUGCCUAGGAAUCUGCCUAGUGGUGGGGGAUAACGUUCGGAAACGGACGCUAAUACCGCAUACGUCCUACGGGAGAAAGCGGGGACCUUCGGGCCUCGCGCCAUUAGAUGAGCCUAGGUCGGAUUAGCUAGUUGGUGAGGUAAUGGCUCACCAAGGCGACGAUCCGUAACUGGUCUGAGAGGAUGAUCAGUCACACUGGAACUGAGACACGGUCCAGACUCCUACGGGAGCAGCGA
This 326-nucleotide ribosomal RNA is filed under the name uncultured soil bacterium. RNAcentral's name for it is "bacterial SSU rRNA". It matches the Rfam family "Bacterial small subunit ribosomal RNA", at positions 26 to 354 of the family's 1533-position model. The record is from RNAcentral.